CGUGUGAGCCUUGCUCUCCUGGGGAGGCUCAGGCUGACGGCUGAUGUGGGCAUUGCCGAGGGUAACCUGUGGCCCAGUGUAUAUGGCCGGGUCUCCUCAAGCUGCAUUCAUUCAAGUAGGACCCAGGGUGCAUGCCCAUCUCCAGCCCAGGGCAGCUCCCCUGUAAGCUGGGUGAGCUACUGAAGCCAAGGUGGGAGGCAGCUGACAACACCACCCACGGCCCAUGCAGAGGUGGUAGAAAGGCUGGACUCAGCAGGAACACCAAAUCCCGGACCAGGCAGAAACCACCCAAGACUGAGGGGCUCGUGCCAGAGCGGUGGCCACAGAGACUUCAGAACCCACUCCUGAGAACAGCGGAGCCAGGCGCUUAGAGGAAGACCAAAUGCUGCCAGGACACGGAUUGUCCAGGGAUUACAUUCCAGCAUCUUAUUAGAGGACGGAAGCAGAGGGUGCUGUUUCAACGCCACCACCAGGAGAGAGGCAGAGGGGCUGUGCCGUGCUAGAGUCCUCAGGGAGGGAGUGACCUCGACCCUGGCUGUGCUGCAAGCUGACUCCAGCCUUGGGCUCAGCAGCACCCGGUGAACAGCAGCAGGAGGAGCCGCUAGAGCAGCUGCUCAUGGGCAGAGCAGCCCUUGGGCAACUCCUGCCACCACCCCCUCCCCAGGGAGCCCAAGGCAGGGGAGGCUCAGCAUGGAAUGAAACAGGGGAGUGAGGGACACAAGGAGGUGGGAAGUGGGAGGGUCCCAGCCCCACCAAGUACGCAGAGACCC
Molecule: long non-coding RNA, 770 nt
Organism: Homo sapiens (human)
Lineage: Eukaryota; Metazoa; Chordata; Mammalia; Primates; Hominidae
Gene: POM121L9P
Product: POM121 transmembrane nucleoporin like 9, pseudogene
Source: Ensembl